AGUCCACUCCCGGGCGGGGAGCGUUCACAGCCGCUCUCGGCCUUAGCCCUCGCAAGGCAUGCUGGGGGAGGUAUGCCUCUUGGCCCGCGAAGCUUGCUGGGAGUUGUAGUCCUCGUGAGGUAAUCGGAAGAACUUCGGGAGUUCCUCGCAAGUUAUUCUGGGAAGGGUAACCUGUCUCCUUGGGGGGUGUAGUUUCCUCAGAGGGCGGGCGGUGGGGUGUAUGCCGUGUCUGCAGACAGUGCUGGGGAGCUGCAGCGUCGGGGCCCCCUCAGAGCACAGCUCUCCCCCCAGUGGCCCCGGAGUCCUCCCCAUGGACUAGGCUUGGCACAACUCGAUUCUUUAAUAUAUUUUUGAAAAUAACGUUCACAGAUAAUAUCGAGCAAUCACCAGUGUGCUCAGUGCUUGAAGUUAAGAAGAAGAAGUGGAAGUGCUGGGGUUGCCAGCUAAUGGCAGAUGCUGGAUGUUUUGAGCUUUUCCUACAAGCAGGUGAAAGGAAACUUUGUGCACUACUCUGCUACUUUCCUUGAGGCUUUCAGGCCUGAUCUGCAAACGCUUCUCAAUUAAUGGUGGAAUAAAUUGACCAACAGGACAAACAAUUGAAAGCUGGGGAAAUGUGCCUUG
Molecule: long non-coding RNA, 621 nt
Organism: Gopherus evgoodei (Goodes thornscrub tortoise)
Lineage: Eukaryota; Metazoa; Chordata; Testudines; Testudinidae
Exons: 3
Source: RefSeq, a predicted model, not a curated record